AACUGUACCCAAGGAGGGAGAAGGAGCCUCUACUCACUCAGGCAUAGAAAGUGAGGUCAUGAUUAAGUUCAAUGAAUAAGCACAGCACAGAAAAUCCAGAUGUCUGUCAGCCAUGGGAUGACAUCUUCUAUCCACGAGCUACAGAAACUGAGAGAAGAGUGUUUGCAAGUCCCUCUGGUUGCAGAAGCAAGGUUCAUUGAUGGAGAAAGGGAUCUGAAGAUGCAGGCACUUACUUCUGGGGAGGAGAUAAAGAAGGGAAGAGAGCUCCUGCGUUUACCCCUAAGGUCAACUACUUCUCUCUGCCUUACAUGAGUGACAAAGAGCCUAUUAACAUGAAGAUAAUGAGGAUGAAGACCUUUAUAAUGUUGCACUUACACUUGAUGAGU
This 386-nucleotide long non-coding RNA is filed under the name Homo sapiens (human). RNAcentral's name for it is "HSALNT0353216". The record is from RNAcentral. Lineage: Eukaryota; Metazoa; Chordata; Mammalia; Primates; Hominidae.